CCUACGAGAGUCAGCAGUGAGGAAUAUUGGUCAAUGGCCGGAAGGCUGAACCAGCCAAGCCGCGUGAAGGACGAAGGUUCCAAGCAUUGUAACCUUCUUUUGUCAAGUGACAAAAUCAGGCUCGAGAGCCUGACCGAGGGUACUUGAAGAAAAAGCAUCGGCUAACUCCGUGCCAGCCGCCGCGGUAAUACGGAGGAUGCGAACGUUAUCCGGAUUUAGUGGGUGUAAGGGGUGCGUAGGCGGACAGUUAAGGCAGCGGUAAAACCACGGUGCUCAACCCCGGCGAGCCGUUGAAACUGGCUGUCUUGAGAUGUCGAGAGGUAUGCGGAAUGCGCAGUGUAGCGGUGAAAUGCUUAGAUAUUGCGCAGAACUCCGAUUGCGAAGGCAGCAUACCGGCGGCGAUCUGACGCUGAGGCACGAAAGCGUGGGUAUCGAACAGGAUUAGAUACCCCUGUAGUC
Molecule: ribosomal RNA, 459 nt
Filed under: uncultured bacterium
Lineage: Bacteria
Description: partial 16S ribosomal RNA
Rfam family: Bacterial small subunit ribosomal RNA
Source: RNAcentral